Molecule: RNase P RNA, 330 nt
Filed under: chicken gut metagenome
Description: Bacterial RNase P class A
Rfam family: Bacterial RNase P class A
About the family: Ribonuclease P (RNase P) is a ubiquitous endoribonuclease, found in archaea, bacteria and eukarya as well as chloroplasts and mitochondria. Its best characterised activity is the generation of mature 5'-ends of tRNAs by cleaving the 5'-leader elements of precursor-tRNAs. Cellular RNase Ps are ribonucleoproteins.
Source: RNAcentral
AGCGGACUGCGCGGCCGCGGCGUAUUUUUACGACGAGGAAAGUCCGGGCAUCGCAGGGCAGGACGCCUGAUAACGUCAGGUGAAGGCGACUUUAAGGAAAGUGCAACAGAAAUAGACCGCCGCAUUUGCGGUAAGGGUGGAAAGGCGAGGUAAGAGCUCACCGACGGGACGGUAACGCCCCGUGCCAUGUAAACCCCGUCCGAUGCAAGGUUGGGCUGUAUUCGUAUGGGUUGCCCGCCCGAAUACAGCCGUAAAUACCGCUUGAGCUUACCGGUGACGGUAAGCGUAGAUAAAUGACCGCGCUCGACAGAACCCGGCUUACAGGUCCGU